ACUAGAAUAUCAAUACACAACAUAUUCCUCCCCUUUACUUUUGAUAUCUUGUAAGGAAAACGUAAAUAUUCACUGUUUUUCAUAUUAUUUUCUUUUCAACAUAACUGUUCUCUUUAUGUACAUAAAGGAACUUUUCAGACUAACCUUUUCUGACCUAGGGAAAGAGGGAAGACUGCCUCAUUUCCCAGACUUAACCCUGGGGUGUAUUCUGCCCCAAUUUCGGAGGCCCCUUCGUUGCGACGUCCCCUGAAUGCCCAUCUGCUAGCCACUAGCUGUCUAGAGCAUAUUGGACUGUUAGCUGAAUAGAUCCAUUUGCCAAUUGGACUGGACCCCUCUGCUACACGGAACUCUACUAAUCCAUCACGACUGGUCUAUUGACGGAACCGCACGAGGAGGCUAAACCAGACUUCUCUCCGUCGCGACGUCCCUCUAAGGCCCUUUCUGCUAGCUUGCUAGCCCUGGCCUGCUAGCUGUCUGAAUCACUGUGUCUCCAGCCAGCCCAACCAUUCACUGGACCCUUAUGAUCACUCGGCUAUGCAUGCCUCUCCCUAAUGUCAAUAUGCCUUGUCCAUUACUGUUCUUGUUAGUGAUUAUUGUUUUAUUUCACUGUAGAGCCUCUAGCCCUGCUCAAUAUGCCUUAACCAACCAUGUUGUUCCACCUCCCACAUAUGCAAUGACAUCACCUGGUUUAAAUGUUUCUAGAGACAAUAUCUCUCUCAUCAUCACUCAAUGCCUAGGUCUACCUCUAAUGUACUCACAUCCGACCAUACCUUUGUCUGUACAUUCAUUAUGCCUUGAAUCUAUUCUAUCUGGCCAGAAACCUGCUUAUUUUACUCUCUGUUCCAAACAUACUAGAUGACCAGUUCUUAUAGCCUUUAGCCGUACCCUUAUCCUAGUCCUCCUCUGGUGUUGUAGAGUUUAAUCCAGGACCUGCAGUGCCUAUCUCCACUCCUAUUCCCCAGGUUCUCUCAUUUGUUGACUUUUGUAACCGUAAAAGCCUUGGUUUCAUGCAUGUUAACAUUAGAAGCCUCCUCCCUAAGUUUGUUUAUUCACUGCUUUAGCACACUCUGCCAACCCGGAUGUCCGAGCCAUGUCUGAAUCCUGGCUUAGGAAGGCCACCAAAAACCCUGACAUUUCCCAUCCCAAACUAUAACAUUUUCCAACAAGAUAGAACUGCAAAGGGGGCGGAG
Molecule: long non-coding RNA, 1190 nt
Organism: Oncorhynchus tshawytscha (Chinook salmon)
Lineage: Eukaryota; Metazoa; Chordata; Actinopteri; Salmoniformes; Salmonidae
Source: Ensembl